GCGCCGCCGCCUCCUCGCACAGCCGCAGCGAGAGCGCGGGGACAGCCCCUCUUGGGAUUGGCGGUGAAUGCAGGAAGAGAAGCCCGCGUAGCACAGCCCAGGCGGACAGGCUCUAGGUCUGCUGCGCAGACUUGAAAUGACUUGGGAGCUCUGAACAGGCGCACAUGAAAACCAAAACCGAGGCUCUUUUCUACCGCACGCCUAAAUUCGGCAGGCAAAGCUGUUCACCGUUCUGCAAAAGCGAGUGCUGUGACUUCCUACGCUGCGGCCCUCGCCGACCGCGGCCGCCGAGAGGCCUGUUCUUAACGGGAAGGGCAGCGUGAGGUUUCUUCCUCCCUCUCGCCUCCGUUGAGGCACUCGCAGGAUGAAAAGUCUGUUCGUGCCCCGCGUCCGGCCCCGUAGCCUGCACCACGGCCCUACGGAGACUGGGCAGGCAGGGAAAGGCUUUGCGAGCUGCCCCCUGCCCCAUGCAGGGAUUCCAGAUUAAUAAGCACGUCUUUGGGUUUGUCCUUCAGUUUUGGAACAAAGAUAGGCAGCGAGGGAAGGGUAGAGUGCACAGUUCUGCCUCUGUUGCCAAAAUACGGUCUGUACUGCUCCUUGGCCUGAAGAAGCAAUUUUCCUUCACGGAGAUUUCACCCUUCAUUUUGAAAAAACUCUGAUCUAGUUUCACGUAUGCUGAGCACAGCUUUUAGUCUAUUGUCUCAACUUCCACCCUGGGAAGAGCAGUGACAACAGUGGAAAUCGCUCUUCGAUAAUUCUUUUUGCUAAAGAUCUGAAGCAAAAAAACUUCCAGUCACAAUGUGCUCUGCGUGAAACUUCAGAGAUUUAAAAUACUACAAACGUUUUAUGUCUUGUUUGACUUUCUAAUUCUUGUUGCUUUCAUUACUGUCAAAGGGUUGAGGUAAAUUGCAAUCACGAUUUCAUUAUUUCCCUGUAUACAGAAGAGUUCUGACUGAAAGAUAAGAUUCCCUGAUAGUGACAUCAUGAGCUGUUAAAGCAAGUAGCAUGAAUCUCACAGUGAAAUUCUGGGUUGAAGCACUUUCUAAAAGCUAAUCAGGUUGUGGAGUGUGUGUUACACGAGUUUGUUACCUCCUACUUUUUAUAUUGAAGUCGCACCAUAUCUAAGAGCUAGUUCUAAACUCAGCAAAGCCUAAAGAAUGGCAAAAGCAUUUCUCUAAUGAGAUCCAAAAUGAAAUAUUAAUUCUUCAUUAUAUACACUAUGUUAAACCUGACAGUCCUUAGAGAGGAAGCUCUUUCCAUGUAAAAUGUGCAGGACGUAAUGGACUGUGGACAGCUGACAUUUAUUUCCUAUUAAUCAACACAGACUUCUGAUCAGUUUUGUAUAGCUUGCAUAUGAAGUUACGAAAUGAAAGGCUAAUUAAAAGUUUAAACUUUUUGAGGUAGGGUCUGAUUAUUGUAUAUGGCAUUCACUUCUUUGUGAAUCGCUGUGUAUUGCCGUGGCAUUAUUUACAUAAUACAGCAAGUUUUAAAACUGCAUUUGUUAGUGAGGUGGAGUUGCAUGGCUUAGUGGACCACUGUGAGGAGGGUGAACAGUACUGCAGAAUCUUAAUAGCACAUUAAAAACUAUUUAAAAUUCAGAUUCCCAAUGCUUCUCAAGAAGGAAAAAGUGCUGUUGUUUGGUGAUGUUAAUGUAUAGUUUUUUCCUGAUGUUAACUGGAUGUGCACUUAACAGAGAAUAAAUGCUCAGUGGUAAGCACAGAAGAGGCCACUACGAUUAAGCCUUCUUUGGCUGAAAAAAACAACACCCUGAAGCAUCUCAAGUGUUAGAACAUAUUGCUGGUCCAUCUUUAUUAGUACACCACCCUGUGUUAAGCAGCUGGGUCUUUUUCGCAUGAUCAUGUAUGACAGGCUUCACUGUGUUUUAUUAUAUUAGUAACUUAAGGCAAAACAAACACCAUUAACUCAAAAAAACCCACUGGUACUGUAACUUUUAUUUGCUAAUAAAUAUCUUAAUAAACAGGCUUACCUCAUCUGUAAGACCUGAUAAUGCCUCUUAGGAAAUCAUAGAAAAAUAAAAUACAAUAAUAAUCCAUAACUUGUACUUUGUACAAAAAUCUUACUAUGUUGCUCAGCAGGUAGCUUUGCCAAACCCCAUAUUCUUUCUGCAAAGAGAUGGCAUAUGUAAUGCAGUUCACCUUAAAAACACCCUAAUGUUGAGAGCUGAGCACUGUAUUACACUAUUAUCUUCUAGGCAUGCCAGCACAUGAAAAUUUACAUGGAACAUCAUAUUAUCAUAGGAAUAGAAUGAUAAUUUUAAAAAAGAAGGUAACACCACUUUUCAGUAAAUAAUAACAACUUCACUUCUAAUGUAAAUUCCCCUUGGGACUGCAAAUGAGUAUAUUAAGCUUUUUAUUUCAUGGCUCCUCCUACAAUACUAUUAUAAACUGGCAAAAAGCCAGAAAGGAAAAUGCAGUGGGAACAUAUAUGGGGAAUAUAUUACAUGAAGAAAAGUAAUUCUGACCAGUGAGGCAGUCCCAGGGGGAAAGCAACAAUAGCAGCUGUGAAAUGGUCCAUCUCUCAGAAUGAGUAGAUCAUGCUGUGUGCAACGUUACACAAGUUCAGACUGAUGAAGAUACAACUUAAAGUUACUGUACCAAGGCUGCUUUUCUGUGAUGAAUGGUCAAGACUGAAUCACAGGUAGUUCUCAUUACUCAAGCGCAUAUUGGUAAGAGGAAAAGAAGCAAUGGCAAAACAGAUGUUACCUGGGGGUCUUUAAAGAAAAGGUGGUUUUCAGACUACUGAUAAGGAUAUGACAUCUGUGCUGAGGGCACGGUUUGUUUGGAAAAUAGUUUGUAUUAUGAUUACACCAUUACUUUUGAAGCCAUCUGCCUUUGAAGUUUUGACAUGGCUGCUUAAAUAUAUAAUCUAGUGUCUGUCAUCAAAUAAUUGUUCAUAUAUACACAUACAUUGAUACAUCUUAUGGCUAUGCUAGAACAGCAAACUAUGAAGAGCAGUCAUAUCUAGUUGUGUACAAUCUAAUUUCACAGAAGAGACAGAGAUUAAAACCCCUUGUAAUUCAGAUACGUUUAAAACCAACAUACAGAAGUAGAGCCUAUCCUGAGAAAACAUACCAACCAUGUCAUUUUCUAAGAGAAAAUAAAAGCUAAUUUUUGGAAGGUAGUCAAAUAUUUUUCUGGCAUCUUUUCUACAAGUGAAAGUAGUUUGCUUUUUUAAAAAACUGAUUAAAAAAUUACAACAAUGAAGGUUGCUUUGCUAGAAAAUAAACUAUUGCCUUUCAGUAAAUAGGGUUUCACAUGACCUUUUAAUGAUUUUUUUUUUCCUUGUUGAAUUGCAGAUGCAAUCCUGAGAAGUGCAGAGUUCCUGUUGUUCUUACCAAAGUCAGUAGGAGUUGUUCUGCACCACAAAAGAACAAGCCCUUCUUGUUAGUCUCUUCUCUUUUCAGUCAUGGCAUCACUGUGCAUGAUGUAACUGAUACCAUCAGAGAAUUUUGACACUGGCCUCACCAGAAGCAGACACGAGGCUAUAGGUAAUACACUGAAGUAAUGACUGAUUCCAGUUCCUUUUCCAGAGUUAACCAAGAAACAACAUUUCCCACUUUUAAUCUGAUAUAGCCCUCUCUAUGUAGAGAAGCUGGGAGAAUAAAUGGCUGCAAAAGAAAUAGUAUUAAAAUGCUACAAUGCAAAUUCAAAGCUAACUGUUUAUUUGGGAGAGACAGAUAAGUAAUCACGGCUAUAAGCUUUAAAAUGCAUAUGUAAUUACAUGUUAGGAAUUUUAGAGUAGGAUGGUUUUCUUGAGAUAGGGAAUUAACGAGAGUCCAGUAAACAGAACCACUAGGAGAGUAUUAGGAAUUUUAUUUGCUGCUGUGCCUUUGAUUAACUGGGAAAUCUCAAAACUUAGACUGCAACUUGCUAGGAGUAUGAAACAAGUUGUUCAAAGAGGAAAAUAAUCAGCUAGAACUGCUAUUAUGAAGGGGAGAUCUUAUUGCAUAAUAGAUUAUGUUUAGGAAAACAAAGAAAUACAGACAUCCUAUUUUUCUGGUA
This is a long non-coding RNA of Apus apus (common swift), 4022 nucleotides long. RefSeq lists it as uncharacterized. NCBI's taxonomy places the organism in Eukaryota, Metazoa, Chordata, Aves, Apodiformes, Apodidae. The record is from RefSeq and is a predicted model, not a curated record. The transcript has 2 exons.